Molecule: ribosomal RNA, 506 nt
Filed under: uncultured bacterium
Lineage: Bacteria
Description: partial 16S ribosomal RNA
Rfam family: Bacterial small subunit ribosomal RNA
Source: RNAcentral
AGUGAACGCUGGCGGUAGGCCUAACACAUGCAAGUCGAACGGCAGCACAGGAGAGCUUGCUCUCUGGGUGGCGAGUGGCGGACGGGUGAGGAAUACAUCGGAAUCUGCUUUUUCGUGGGGGAUAACGUAGGGAAACUUACGCUAAUACCGCAUACGACCUACGGGUGAAAGCAGGGGACCUUCGGGCCUUGCGCGAUUGAAUGAGCCGAUGUCGGAUUAGCUAGUUGGCGGGGUAAAGGCCCACCAAGGCGACGAUCCGUAGCUGGUCUGAGAGGAUGAUCAGCCACACUGGAACUGAGACACGGUCCAGACUCCUACGGGAGGCAGCAGUGGGGAAUAUUGGACAAUGGGCGCAAGCCUGAUCCAGCCAUACCGCGUGGGUGAAGAAGGCCUUCGGGUUGUAAAGCCCUUUUGUUGGGAAAGAAAUCCAGCCGGCUAAUACCUGGUUGGGAUGACGGUACCCAAAGAAUAAGCACCGGCUAACUUCGUGCCAGCCGCCGCCGUAA